UGAACUGGUUUGUGAUGUAGUGGAGGAUGGAUGGGGUGGCCAGUUUCAUGAUGGCCAUUGCAACCCUCUUGUCUGGCAGGAUGGCCCAAUGCAUGUAAGUGUCCUUCCUCAUAAUGUGGGGUGCCAGCAUCGAGAUGAUAUGAUAGAAUGUCUCCCUUUUCAUUCAGAAUAUCUUCACCCACUGCUGGUCAUUUCAAGUGGUCAGCACAAUUCACUCCCACCAGUCCAAGCUGGUUUCAUGAGCCCACACCAUGGGAAUACUGAUCCUCCUCGGGUUUCUCAACAGAGCCCAGUCAUCCUCCACUUCUUUGCUUCCCUCCGGAUAUUCCACCUCCAUGGGUCUCUGUAUCUUCUUAUUUUUAUUGCUGUUAAUCUUACUGUGAAACCAGUAACACACCUUGCCAUUGAAUAGUCUGCCAUCAUUAUCCUUCUCAAGUGGUGCAGCCAAGAUCCCCAGCUAAGCAGCAUUUGCAGAACCAGUAUUGCCUUCUCCUCCUUCUCCUCCUGAUCUCCUAUGUCCUCCAUAUUCUUCAUAUCAAAGGACUCUUCACUGCAUUGUUCUCCAUCAUCAUGCAUUUCAUUCUCAGUCUCCAUUUUGCUCCUAUCCAUCAGCAGCCGCAGCUUCUCACCCCCCUCUGUACCAAGCAUGGGGCUGGGACUGUAGGGUGCUGUGUGGUCUGGAGCUUGGUGUAGCUGCGUUUUCAACAAGUCAACCCAGGGCAUUGGGGUUUUUGCACAUCGAUUUCAUCCUAAGAUAAGCAGCCACUGGAGUUCUGAUGUAAUCAAGCUUGCAAACAAAAAAGGUUUUGCCUGCUCCACUCCUGGUUAUGUAGGUUACUCAAAUUUUUUGCCACUUAAUGGAAAACAGGCAAUAAAAUCAUUUUGCACAAGCAGAUUAGUAGGUGUCAUCGUUUUUUGCAACCUUUUGGACCAUUAAGCAGCCAUCCCAAAGGACAUUGGCCUAUCUAGCCCAUGCUUAACCCCAUCACCAGGUCCUUGUUGGUAAACAGGGUGCUUCAUCACCUUUGGCUGUUUUGACACUUACAGGUAAUGACUUCACAGUCCUUGGAAUUUUCUCAGACCCUCAUGCAAGCACAGCCUGAGUAUAAAGGUGCCCCCCCCCCCCAAAUUUUGACAGCUACCUCUCAUGAAUCACUUAUGCUGUUGACUGUGAAUUGCUUUGCCAUGUUUCAUAAAGCCAAGGCCAGCAGUAUGGAGCCAACAGCCCAGGAGGCUGAUACCUCCAAUGCCUAUGGACCCAACUGGACCUGGGAAGAACUGGGGAACUUAAUCUACAUUUGGUUGGAGUAAAGGAUCAUAGAGAGGCUGGAAAGUAGCAGGAAUAAGCCUGUUUCUGUCAAGAUCACAAAAGGCAUGCAGGUGUGAGGAAACAAUUGUGACUGGACCCAGGCCUGGUACAAGAUCAAAUCCCUGAGAUCAGCAUUUUACUGAGCCAAAGAUGCAAACUCUUGUUCUUGGGCAGGUCACACAAUUGCUGCUCUCUAUGACAAGCUGUACAUGAUUCUCUCCAAGGAUGCAGGUGACAACCCAGGUAUGGAGACUUCAGCACCUGGGUUGGGCAGGAGGAGGGAGGAGGAGGUGGCAGGAGCCCCUCCUGAGGGUGAAACCAUGAGCAUGUCUCACCUGUACGGAGACUGAUCCCUGAUCCAUGAUGACCCUUACAGUCGGGAAGAUUCAUCAGUCACAAUACACUUAGUGGCAGUUUCCCCUUCCAUUCUAUGGAAUAGCAUGGAGGAAGUGGAGGAAGUGGAGGGUCGUGAAGAAACCCACAUGGCCAAGCCAUCUUCUGUUGCUCCCAAGAACAUGCUGGAUCAUCUAGCAUGGGCAUUGCCAGCCAUGGACCUGUUUCUGAAGUGGGUACUUGUAAGUUCUGGGCAGCAUGAGUGGUUCCCCACUGUUUCAGGGUCUAUUUUUGCACCUGCUGGCAUUUUCUGCACUGCAUGGUGGAGGGCGUGAAGAUUGCAUAUUUUUCUCCUCUUGGGGGGAAAGCAACCAUUGCUUUUUUCUUUGUUAAUCAGCCACUGUGACCCACGGCCACCCACAAUGGACCCCAGCUUGCAUUACAGAAGAGAGCUGCAGAGAUUUUUGCAGCAGGCAGCUAUGGUCCCGCAAAAGUUCGCUCGAGGCUUUGGCAGAAUUAUCAGUAGCCGGAGUGGAAUGCAUAUAUGCCUGGCAGAAGAAACUCCUUGAGUUGCUGCAUGAGGAUGAUGCCAUCAUGGAGGAAUUGUGAGACAGCAUGUGGGAGUUCAAAGACAUGUUCACUGAGUACCAUGUUGAAUUACAGAGCUCACCGGAAGAUUUCAGUGAUGCCUUUCACAGUGUGCAGAAUUACCUCUUAAAUAAAUGGGUACCAUGCCUGAAAGGGAAAUUUGGUCCUCCUGGCUUGCCUCUGUGCAGGAAAAACUGGCAUGGAGACUUACAGAUGAGCCUGUUCCCCCUAACUCAGUGAGGUCCCAGGAGGGUCAUACAACUGCCAGCAGAGCCAGGAGGGCACUACUGUGUUUCAGGGAGACAGGGCAAUUCAGGGUCGGGGGAGGUAAAGAAGACCAAGUAACUACUUACAAGACUAUGUUCCAAAUAAUAAAACCUCGUGGUUUCCUGGCUUCCUGUGUCUGCCUCCGUAUCUUACCCUUGGUGGAGAAGGUGAAUUUUGUUCAUUGUUUGGGUUCAUUUCUCUGCUCAUUUUUCCUGCCGCUUACUUCAUAGGGCAUGGGGCGGGGAGGGGUUGACAAUCUCUCUUGCACAGGUACAUGGGGAGGCUCUGAAGGUAAACAGGGGGGCUGCUUGAAUGGGUUGCAACACACAAGUGCUGGCCUACACAGUAGCAUUUUGAAAACCCAGCACCCACUCUGCAAAGUCUCUUCAGAGGUCAUAUUGCCUCUGAUUUCACCUCCCUUAGCUGGGAGAAUGGAAGUGGUGUGCCAGUAGCCUGGCUUGCUUUUUGGCAAGCCACCGGCCACUUUGCACAGUUGCCCACAGGGGUUGUUGCCUUCCCAGUCUGGUCUGCCUAUAGUGUGUGGUGGGGGUGCUCUUUGGCUCACCCUUUUCAACCCUUGAAUUUUCCCUAGACCAAAACUUUGCAAAUGCACUUUUUCAGCAUUCAUUUUGCACUCUUUUCCAGCCAUGUCUUGAGGGGACUACAGGCUGAUCAAGUGGGGUGCAGUGCAGUGAAGCUUCAAGUGCAAUUUGAGGCCCGUACCUCUGCGACAUGAAACUCGAAAGAGCACAUGAUGAUGUGCUCCAUGUCACCUUCGGCUGGUCAAUCCCUGUGGGUGUGACAAGAUGCAGAAGAGAAGAGGCAGCAUGAGAAGAUGAAGAGGAUAACACUUCCUUCAGGAUGUUCUUAACAACUGAAUUACUAUAUAUAUUAUACUGUGUAUUAUAAUUAUUGUUGAUUUUCAUCUUAUAGAUCUGUGUAGACAGGUAAUACUAAUAAUAGGAGUCAAUAACAAUAUUAAUUCCAUUACCAAUAUAUUAG
Molecule: long non-coding RNA, 3499 nt
Organism: Alligator mississippiensis (American alligator)
Lineage: Eukaryota; Metazoa; Chordata; Crocodylia; Alligatoridae
Exons: 3
Source: RefSeq, a predicted model, not a curated record